This 484-nucleotide ribosomal RNA is filed under the name uncultured bacterium. RNAcentral's name for it is "partial 16S ribosomal RNA". It matches the Rfam family "Bacterial small subunit ribosomal RNA", at positions 30 to 507 of the family's 1533-position model. The record is from RNAcentral.
AUUGAACGCUGGCGGCAGGCCUAACACAUGCAAGUCGAGCGGAUGAAGGGAGCUUGCUCCUGGAUUCAGCGGCGGACGGGUGAGUAAUGCCUAGGAAUCUGCCUGGUAGUGUGGGAUAACGUCCGGAAACGGGCGCUAAUACCGCAUACGUCCUGAGGGAGAAAGGGGGGGAUCUUCGGACCUCACGCUAUCAGAUGAGCCUAGGACGGAUUAGCUAGUUGGUGGGGUAAAGGCCUACCAAGGCGACGAUCCGUAACUGGUCUGAGAGGAUGAUCAGUCACACUGGAACUGAGACACGGUCCAGACUCCUACGGGAGGCAGCAGUGGGGAAUAUUGGACAAUGGGCGAAAGCCUGAUCCAGCCAUGCCGCGUGUGUGAAGAAGGUCUUCGGAUUGUAAAGCUCUUUAAUUUGGGAGGAAGGGCAGUAAGUUAAUACCUUGCUGUUUUGACGUUACCAACAGAAUAAGCACCGGCUAACUUCGUG